Molecule: ribosomal RNA, 262 nt
Filed under: uncultured bacterium
Lineage: Bacteria
Description: partial 16S ribosomal RNA
Rfam family: Bacterial small subunit ribosomal RNA
Source: RNAcentral
AUUAGCGGCGGACGGGUGAGUAACACGUGGGUAACCUGCCUUAUAGUGGGGGAUAGCCUUUCGAAAGGAAGAUUAAUACCGCAUAACGUCGCAAGACCAAAGAGGGGGACCUUCGGGCCUCUUGCCAUCGGAUGUGCCCAGAUGGGAUUAGCUAGUAGGUGGGGUAACGGCUCACCUAGGCGACGAUCCCUAGCUGGUCUGAGAGGAUGACCAGCCACACUGGAACUGAGACACGGUCCAGACUCCUACGGGAGGCAGCAUG